This is a non-coding RNA of Budorcas taxicolor (takin), 555 nucleotides long. The record is from the annotation of a RefSeq genome assembly. Lineage: Eukaryota; Metazoa; Chordata; Mammalia; Artiodactyla; Bovidae.
AUGGAGACGCUUCUGGCCCUGUCUUUGGUGAUUCUGUGGCUUCCGCUGGCCAAGGUGAAUAGCCAGCAAGGAGGACAGAAUCUUCAGACCCUGAGCAUCCAGGAGGGUGAAAAUGUCACCAUGAACUGCAGCUAUAAAAGUAUUACUAUAACUGCCUUACAGUGGUACAGACAGGAUUCAAGGCGAGGCUUUGUUCAUCUGAUUUUAAUGCGUUCAAAUGAGAGACAGAAACACAGUGGAAGACUGCACUUCACGCUUGACCGCUCCAUCAAAAGCAGCUCCGUGUCCAUCACGGCUUCCCAGGGCGAGGACACUGCUACUUACCUCUGUGCUCCAGACACACAGUGCUCAGCUGGCACCUGCAGCCCCAGCGCAAACUUGCCAGAGCUGUCUCUUAAAAGCUGUGACAGUGUGCAGAGUUGGUGGUUUUGUCUUCCCACAAAGGAGAGUCUGCAAACGGCUAGCAACACGAAAGGGAGCUCCUCUCAAAUUCCUGAGUUUUUGGUAGCAUGUCAGACUAUAGUAAAGGGCAUGGGAUUUAGAAUGGGAAGCUGA